AGUGAACGCUGGCGGUAGGCCUAACACAUGCAAGUCGAACGGCAGCACAGUAAGAGCUUGCUCUUACGGGUGGCGAGUGGCGGACGGGUGAGGAAUACAUCGGAAUCUACUUUUUCGUGGGGGAUAACGUAGGGAAACUUACGCUAAUACCGCAUACGACCUACGGGUGAAAGCAGGGGAUCUUCGGACCUUGCGCGAUUGAAUGAGCCGAUGUCGGAUUAGCUAGUUGGCGGGGUAAAGGCCCACCAAGGCGACGAUCCGUAGCUGGUCUGAGAGGAUGAUAGGCCACACGGGAACUGAGGAACGGUCGAGACUCCUACGGGACGCAGAAGUGGGGAAUAUUGGAAAAUGGGAGCAAGUGUGAUCCAGCCAUACCGGGUGGGUAAAGAAGGCAUUCGGGUUGAAAAGCCUUUUUGUUGGGAAAAAAAAGCAGGAGGUUAAUACCCCGCUGUUCUGAGGGUACCAAAAGAAGAAGCACAGACUAACUUAGUG
RNAcentral lists this ribosomal RNA (492 nucleotides) under uncultured bacterium. RNAcentral's name for it is "partial 16S ribosomal RNA". It matches the Rfam family "Bacterial small subunit ribosomal RNA", at positions 29 to 507 of the family's 1533-position model. The record is from RNAcentral.